RNAcentral lists this ribosomal RNA (398 nucleotides) under uncultured bacterium. Its description in RNAcentral is "bacterial SSU rRNA". It matches the Rfam family "Bacterial small subunit ribosomal RNA", at positions 497 to 894 of the family's 1533-position model. The record is from RNAcentral.
UCGAUUGUGCCAGCAGCCGCGGUAAUACGUAGGGCGCAAGCGUUAUCCGGAAUUAUUGGGCGUAAAGAGCUCGUAGGCGGUUUGUCGCGUCUGCCGUGAAAGUCCGGGGCUCAACUCCGGAUCUGCGGUGGGUACGGGCAGACUAGAGUGAUGUAGGGGAGACUGGAAUUCCUGGUGUAGCGGUGAAAUGCGCAGAUAUCAGGAGGAACACCGAUGGCGAAGGCAGGUCUCUGGGCAUUAACUGACGCUGAGGAGCGAAAGCAUGGGGAGCGAACAGGAUUAGAUACCCUGGUAGUCCAUGCCGUAAACGUUGGGCACUAGGUGUGGGGGACAUUCCACGUUUUCCGCGCCGUAGCUAACGCAUUAAGUGCCCCGCCUGGGGAGUACGGCCGCAAGGC